Oncorhynchus tshawytscha (Chinook salmon) is the source of this 1583-nucleotide long non-coding RNA. The record is from Ensembl. NCBI's taxonomy places the organism in Eukaryota, Metazoa, Chordata, Actinopteri, Salmoniformes, Salmonidae.
CUGGACCUCUAACAGAUCUUUCUGUACAUUUAGUAUAUACGAUAGUAAUGACUCGGUAACAAUGAAAAACAUUUUAAUACAAAGAAGCGUCGUUCAAAUGCCAUUUUUUUGUGAACAGUGUCUUAUCAAUAUCAAGUUGUAUAUUUAUAUAUAUAACAGUAAAACUAUGACUAGUUAAACAAGGAAGGGACUGGCUCUACCCAGUAACACUACUCAUGUUUAGUUCUAUAUCGUUAAGGCAGACAGUUCAGACACCAUCCCAUUAGAAAAAACAUUCUGUUGUCACCACCAGUGUCCGUUUCCAGAAGUUCCAAAUGGCACCCUAUUCCCUCUAUAGUGCAUUAUAGGGGUCCUGGUCUAAAGCAGUGCACUAUAUAGGGAAUAGGGUGCCAUUUGGUAAAUAACCCAGGUCUUCGGACCAGGGUCGUGUUCAUUAGUACAUACACAUGAAAAACAUUUUAAAACACUAUGCAACAGAAAACACAAAUAUGCAUUUAUUAUUGUUUCAGUCCAUUUUCUUCCGUUUGGUACCAAUCCAGGUGUGUGUGUGUAUGUGUCGUGCUGUAACACGUUACUGUGUCUUUAAGGGCUUUAGCAGGAAGACCCACCCAGGCAAGGUCGGUGCAGCAGGUCGGUAACCAAGACGACACGAUGACACCAUCGCCACGGCAACUUGAUUCUACCUAAUAAGGUAACAGGAGACGUUGCAAUUAAAAAAUAAUAACACUUGUUCACUGUGGGAAGGAAAAAUCAUUUCCAGGACAGGAAGUCUGGUGUCAGAUGACGUUGGACAAAACAGGUGGUGGUAGAUAAAUAAGAAAUGGUUUUAUGCUAACUCACACAUUUGUAGACAAUAAGUAAAAAAACAUCAAAUAUCCACCACUAAAGCCUUAUCUAAUCAUGACAACUCCAACAGGAUGUACAGUGACUUGGAAAACCACAUGAAACAUUCACAAGUCUUUUCGCAUGUGUGUUUUACAGGAAGUGCUGAGCGAUUAGUGCUUUUUGAGGUCAGUUCAGUUUCAAUUAUAAUGGUUUUUUUUCUUUCAAUGAUUUAUUUAUUUUUUAACAUGAAAUGUAUUAUGAAAUAAUAACGGGCAAAUGAUUUGAGAGCUUUUUAACGCAAAUUCCAAAGCCAAAAAUAAUGAACAUUCAAUUGCCAAAACAUUUGAAAUAUUCCAUUGUCUCUGUCAGGUCCACAUUGGGUCGACAUCAAUAGAAACAGGAAAUUACUAUGAAAUAAUAAUAUAUUUCAGUUGUGUAUAUUGCUUCUUUUUUAUUUGAGGACUUUAUUAUUUUUAAAUCCUCAAAGUUAUCACCUCAUCUCUGAUCAGACAGUAAGUCAGCAGUCAGACCAUCUAACGUUAUGUUCCCCAAACUGUACUGUUUGUAGUCAUUUAACUAGGAUGCUGCAAAGCUGUCUGACUAAAAUAAUUUGACUAGUUCUUUAAAGUAGAUAAGGCAUACUUUCACAAACGGUCUCUGUCCCUCGUCGUCGUUGUGAACAUUCCUCUCACAUGCGGUCUGUGUGUAUGGAACGCAACAUAACGUAACAUAGUUGCAGGCGUAAAAAGGUAUCCACC